AGCAGCCGCGGUAAUUCCAGCUCCAAUAGCGUAUAUUAAAGUUGCUGCAGUUAAAAAGCUCGUAGUUGAAUUUCGGGACUAAUAUGUCGGUCGUGCCUCGGUACGUACUGGCUUAUUGGUUUCUCCUUUCUGAAGAACCAUGAUGUCAUUUAUUUGGUGUCGUGGGGAAUCAGGACUGUUACUUUGAAAAAUUAGAGUGUUUAAAGCAGGCUCACGCUUGAAUACAUUAGCAUGGAAUAAUGAAAUAGGACGUUUGAUUCUAUUUUGUUGGCUUCUAGGAUCGACGUAAUGAUUAAUAGGGAUAGUUGGGGGCAUUAGUAUUCAAUUGUCAGAGGUGAAAUUCUUGGAUUUAUUGAAGACUAACUACUGCGAAAGCAUUUGCCAAGGAUGUUUUCAUUAAUCAAGAACGAAAGUUAGGGGAUCGAAGACGAUCAGAUACCGUCGUAGUCUUAACCAUAAACUAUGCCGACUAGGGAUCGGAUGAUGUUAAUUUUUAAUGACUCAUUCGGCGUAC
This 514-nucleotide small RNA is filed under the name uncultured Glomus. Its description in RNAcentral is "SSU rRNA". It matches the Rfam family "Eukaryotic small subunit ribosomal RNA", at positions 569 to 1087 of the family's 1831-position model. Lineage: Eukaryota; Fungi; Glomeromycota; Glomeromycetes; Glomerales; Glomeraceae. The record is from RNAcentral.